Molecule: small nuclear RNA, 104 nt
Organism: Fukomys damarensis (Damara mole-rat)
Lineage: Eukaryota; Metazoa; Chordata; Mammalia; Rodentia; Bathyergidae
Source: Ensembl
GUGCUCACUUCAGCAGCACAUAUACUAAAAUUGGAACGAUACAAAGAUUAGCAUGGUCCCAGAGCAAGGAUGACACACAAAUUCAUGAAGUGUUGCAUAUUUUU